RNAcentral lists this ribosomal RNA (465 nucleotides) under uncultured bacterium. RNAcentral's name for it is "bacterial SSU rRNA". It matches the Rfam family "Bacterial small subunit ribosomal RNA", at positions 338 to 795 of the family's 1533-position model. The record is from RNAcentral.
CCUACGGGAUGCAGCAGUAGGGAAUCUUCCACAAUGGGCGCAAGCCUGAUGGAGCAACGCCGCGUGUGUGAUGAAGGGUUUCGGCUCGUAAAACACUGUUAUAAGAGAAGAACGGCACUGAGAGUAACUGUUCAGUGUGUGACGGUAUCUUACCAGAAAGGAACGGCUAAAUACGUGCCAGCAGCCGCGGUAAUACGUAUGUUCCAAGCGUUAUCCGGAUUUAUUGGGCGUAAAGCGAGCGCAGACGGUUAUUUAAGUCUGAAGUGAUAGCCCUCAGCUCAACUGAGGAAUUGCUUUGGAAACUGGAUGACUUGAGUGCAGUAGAGGAAAGUGGAACUCCAUGUGUAGCGGUGAAAUGCGUAGAUAUAUGGAAGAACACCGGUGGCGAAGGCGGCAACCUGGCUCGAUACUGACGCUGAGGCGCGAAAGCGUGGGGAGCAAACAGGAUUAGAUACCCCUGUAGUC